AUCUCAUUAUUUGGUUAUUUGACUAACUUUCUAUUGAAUCUCUCCCAUACUUCAUGGAGCGGCUCCCCACUCCUUUGAAUAAAGUUUAUGAUUUCAUUUCUAAGGU
Capsicum annuum is the source of this 106-nucleotide non-coding RNA. Lineage: Eukaryota; Viridiplantae; Streptophyta; Magnoliopsida; Solanales; Solanaceae. The record is from Rfam.